AAAAGGACAAAGUUGUCCAAGUCACUUGGCAAAGAAUACAUCGAGGUUAUAAAUUUUCUGGCCUACUCUAUAGAGAGAUCGCAUCUUGCCUAUAGGAGCCUAUACCAUAUAGUUUCAUCUCACUUCUAUCCAUCAAUGUAGGUGAGGGAUGUGGGCAUUUGGAUAGUUGUGGAAUUAGGAAUCAUGCAGUUAAUAUUUCUAAGCUUCUACAUCACAGAUGCAUCAGUUUGGAGCGACCAGGAUGAGCAUUAUUGAGAAUUUUGGAUCUUUUGUUGAACUUGAGGCUAGGGAUAUGGUUGUCAUGGAUUGAGUUAGCCAUAUGGAAGUUGAAUGUAGAGUCACUUUAAGGUGUUAGGGAUGUACUAUCAAAGUUAUAAGAUACAUCUAGGAUUUGUUCUAUAGAUUUAGUCAGUAUCGAUCAUGAUUUUUGUAGAAGAGAUAAGUAGCUUAAUUUAUUUCUGGGAUGAAAUAUGGCAUUCUAAAGGUGUGCAAUUAAAAGCCUCCUAAUUUUGUUGUUUAUAAAAGCAGACUUUGUUGAUAAUAUUUAUUGUGCUGGACCUCUUAGUAUUUUUUUAGGUAAUAAACAGGAGCAUAGCUGGUAUUAAAAGAGAAUAAAGAGUUUACAGCAGCAAACAAACAAACAGUAAAACAUCAGGAAUAAUAAAAUAAUAGCAGCAGCAGCCGAUAACCCAAACACAGCAAAAUACAACAAACGUUAUAGGGUAAUAAUCCUGUAAACAUCCGAACUGACAAAAUCCCCAAAACAGAACCAGCAAGGGAGAAAGAGACAAUGAAGGGGAAGGUUGAAGCUAUUCGAACAGGGAAAUGCCGAUCUCCUCUUCGAUAAAAAACACCUAAAUUGUUAGCCUGCAAUAUGAAAAUAAAAAUAGAAUUUGAAAUGAAACUAUCAGGCAAUAGAAGAAAUUGACGAAACACCGCCCUGGCCACAAAGUCAGCAGCCCUCUUAGCUUCUCAUGGAACAUGAGAAGCAUGAAAGGUGGAAUAAGAGGCCUUCUAAGUAAAAAUAUCAUUCAAAAUAGGAAACUGAUAAUCCUUUUUCAUCUGAGAAGAAGCAAGCACAGAAACAACAAUCUUUGAAUCACCUUUCAACCAAAAAACAGAAGCAUUUAAAUGAGAGAUAGUCAUAGCCAUACUCUACCAAGCCGUAACCAACUUAGCAUAUAAAACAGAAGGUAAGAGCUUAGCCCCCAAAGCAAGAACCCUAUCUGAAGCAUCUCGAAUUAUAAAAUCAGAGGCUACCUUAUCGUCAACCACAACGGCAUCAAAAUUUAGUUUAAGGGUGCCUGAGGAUGGGAGAAGUCAAGAAAAGGAGAGUGAUAAAGUACUGCUAGAAUCCGACAGUAAAGAACUUCCCCAGCACCUCAAAUGGCACCCAUCAAUAGAAUAAGAGUCGGCAAUAUUCAAGGGAAUGAGAUAAUAGAAUACACUGCGAACAACCUGAGUGGGGGUUGGAAGAAGAUCCUCAAAAGUUCUUCGAUUCCUUGCAUUCCAAAUAAGCCAAGGAAGAGUGGCUAAUAAAGAUUUUAUUUCUUUUGGAACAGAAGAGGUCAUAAGAUUAACUAGGUUUUUAGUAGAAGAUGGGUGGUAGUCAACAUUAGUUAACAGUUUCAGAUGAUACCGCAACUUUUGGCAAAAGGGCAAUCAAAAAGCACAUGAUCAAUAUCCUCCACAACAUCAGCACAAAGAUCACAAUAAAUGCAAGAAUCAUCAAUAAUUCCUUUUAAAGCAAGAAUAAUUUUGCAGGAGAUGCUUUGCCAUUGAACCUUCCACCAGAAAUACUUAAUGCACAA
This 1811-nucleotide long non-coding RNA is filed under the name Elaeis guineensis (African oil palm). Its description in RNAcentral is "long non-coding RNA (EGUI_LNC000914)". The record is from RNAcentral. Lineage: Eukaryota; Viridiplantae; Streptophyta; Magnoliopsida; Arecales; Arecaceae.